AGAGUUUGAUCCUGGCUCAGGACGAACGCUGGCGGCGUGCUUAACACAUGCAAGUCGAGCGAUGAAGUUUCUUCGGAAAUGGAUUAGCGGCGAACGGGUGAGGAACACGUGAAGAAUCUGCCCUCCACUUUGGGAUAACACCGGGAAACCGGUGCUAAUACCGAAUAUUGAAACAUAAGUGGCAUCACUGAGUUUUGAAAGAAUUUCGGUGGAGGAUGACUUCGCGGCCUAUCAGCUAGUUGGUGAGGUAAUGGCUCACCAAGGCAACGACGGGUAGCCGGCCUGAGAGGGCGACCGGCCACACUGGGACUGAGACACGGCCCAGACUCCUACGGGAGGCAGCAGUGGGGAAUAUUGGGCAAUGGAGGAAACUCUGACCCAGCGACGCCGCGUGCGGGAUGAAGGCCUUCGGGUUGUAAACCGCUUUCAGUAGGGAAGAAGCGAAAGUGACGGUACCUACAAAAGAAGCACCGGCUAACUAUGUGCCAGCAGCCGCGGUAAUACAUAGGGUGCAAGCGUUGUCCGGAAUUAUUGGGCGUAAAGAGCUCGUAGGUCGUUUGUUACGUCGGAUGUGAAAACCUGAGGCUCAACCUCAGGCCUGCAUUCGAUACGGGCAAACUAGAGUUUGGUAGGGGAGACUGGAAUUCCUGGUGUAGCGGUGGAAUGCGCAGAUAUCAGGAGGAACACCAAUGGCGAAGGCAGGUCUCUGGGCCAAUACUGACACUGANNAGCGAAAGU
This 738-nucleotide ribosomal RNA is filed under the name uncultured bacterium. RNAcentral's name for it is "bacterial SSU rRNA". It matches the Rfam family "Bacterial small subunit ribosomal RNA", at positions 8 to 760 of the family's 1533-position model. The record is from RNAcentral.